AAAAUUGAAACAGAUAAAUAUAAAUCUAUACUCUUCUUUUUUUCACGUGUAAUAAAUAUUAUCGCUAAACGCCCAGCGUUUAGCCCCGCAAUUUUUUUUGAGCAUGUUUUUCGUCGUCUUUUUCUUUUCAUUAAAUUUUUCUUUUUGAAAUUUGUCUUCUUUCUUUUUCACCCACGCGUAACGGACAUUUCAAUUCACGAUCUCAGCGAUGUAAAAUUUACUCAUUUCUUUUCAUUUACUGUUCAAGAAAAUUCUUGCGCAGAUACUCAUCGGUUUCUGUUUUACCUUUUGAGGUUUUGAUUUUUUCCUUUCUAAAGAAUUGAUCGAGAGCGUUGAGACAAUCGGUUACUUGCAACGAGUGAAAAGAUGUUAAACUUCAUUAUAUUGAAUUGCGCACGAUAAUGUACUUUGGUUUGACCCGCCAACAAAAGUAUCGACAACAAAAACAAACGAGCCUAAGGACUGCGACUUCGAUUAUUAUGUACAAUUAUUAUUAUUACUAUUUUAUACCUGUUGCGGUGAAGUAUACUAAUAUCAUUAUCGUUAUAUAUCAUAUGUUUAAUACCAAAGCUAUUUAUUUUAUAUUCCAUUUUCUUCAUUUUUUUUCUUCAAUAUAUCGCGCUCAAGAAUCAAAGAAAUUUUUCUAAAAUUUUGUGAGGUGGAUUUAGCUUACGAAUUCUUCACCACACAGUAUUGUAUCACCGUUAUUUUUGCUUUUCUUUUUUUUCCUUUUUUUCCUCUUCCUCACGUGUAUCGCCGCGUUUCAUCUUUCACACUGUACUGUGAAAGGAGGUAUAAUUUCAUCGAGAUUUUUAUUCUUUGCGAUUAAUAGGUUUUUUGCUUUCCCUUUGCAAGAGCGAUACAAUGAAAAUUGAAUGAAACGAAUAAAAAACAAGACUGUAAUUUGAAGAAAAAGAAAAAAUGAAACGUUACAAAAUAUAACAAAGUGACUAAGUCAUGUGAGAGGUGAUAGGUAAGCAGAAUCCAUGGCGGUUAGUUGAGUAAUAUACAUUUGUUUGGAUUUAAUAAUAAUAAUAAUAAUAUUAUUAUGUUAUACGUAAUAUGUAACUAUUAAUAAUUAUGCUGUUAUAAUUUUUUUUUUUUAAUUAAUUAUUUAUUUAUUUAUUUAUUUUUCUUGUAAUUAUUGUAGUAACACACGGAUGACUAAGAAACUUUUGUAUUUGUAUUUUUUUUCAUUUUUUUUUUUUCGUUUAUAAUAUUCAUGUAUUUGUAAUAAAUAUUUAUAUACACGCACGUGGGAAACAUAUAUUAUAUGUAGAUGCUAUCGUUAUUAUCAUAAUUAUUAUUAUUCAUAUUUAUCAAUUUGUAGUUUACUGUAAUGUAUGUAUUUCAUUUUUUUUUUCAAUUAAUUAUUCAUUUGUUACCCAUAUAAUUCUUACGCGUUUCGCCAGAUAAAUUAUUGUGCUUUUU
RNAcentral lists this unclassified non-coding RNA (1431 nucleotides) under Athalia rosae (coleseed sawfly). RNAcentral's name for it is "misc RNA ENSAEAG00005002544.1". The record is from RNAcentral. Lineage: Eukaryota; Metazoa; Arthropoda; Insecta; Hymenoptera; Athaliidae.